Molecule: ribosomal RNA, 252 nt
Filed under: uncultured bacterium
Lineage: Bacteria
Description: partial 16S ribosomal RNA
Rfam family: Bacterial small subunit ribosomal RNA
Source: RNAcentral
ACGGAGGGGGCAAGCGUUGUUCGGAAUUACUGGGCGUAAAGGGCGUGUAGGCGGCCGAUCAAGUCGGGUGUGAAAGCCCUCGGCUCAACCGAGGAAUUGCACUCGAUACUGGUUGGCUAGAGUCCGGGAGGGGGUAGCGGAAUUCCCAGUGUAGCGGUGAAAUGCGUAGAUAUUGGGAAGAACACCAGUGGCGAAGGCGGCUACCUGGACCGGAACUGACGCUGAGGCGCGAAAGCUAGGGGAGCGAAUGGG